AACGUAGGACGCAAGCGUUAUCCGGAGUUACUGGGCGUAAAGCGCGGGCAGGCGGCUCGAAACGUCUGAUGUGAAAUCUCCUCGCUCAACGGGGAGAGGCCAUUGGAAACGGUCGAGCUGGAGGGCAGUAGAGGAGAGUGGAAUUCCUGGUGUAGCGGUGAAAUGCGUAGAGAUCAGGAGGAACAUCAAUGGCGAAGGCAGCUCUCUGGACUGUAACUGACGCUGAGGCGCGAAAGCGUGGGUAGCAAACAGG
This 253-nucleotide ribosomal RNA is filed under the name uncultured bacterium. Its description in RNAcentral is "partial 16S ribosomal RNA". It matches the Rfam family "Bacterial small subunit ribosomal RNA", at positions 524 to 776 of the family's 1533-position model. The record is from RNAcentral.